This 433-nucleotide ribosomal RNA is filed under the name uncultured bacterium. Its description in RNAcentral is "partial 16S ribosomal RNA". It matches the Rfam family "Bacterial small subunit ribosomal RNA", at positions 29 to 507 of the family's 1533-position model. The record is from RNAcentral.
AACGAACGCUGGCGGCAGGCCUAACGCAUGCAAGUCGAGCGGACCCUUCGGGGUUAGCGGCGGACGGGUGAGUAACGCGUGGGAAUAUGCCCUUCUCUACGGAAUAGUCCUGGGAAACUGGGGGUAAUACCGUAUACGCCCUUUGGGGGAAAGAUUUAUCGGGGAAGGAUUAGCCCGCGUUGGAUUAGGUAGUUGGUGGGGUAAUGGCCUACCAAGCCGACGAUCCAUAGCUGGUUUGAGAGGAUGAUCAGCCACACUGGGACUGAGACACGGCCCAGACUCCUACGGGAGGCAGCAGUGGGGAAUCUUAGACAAUGGGGGCAACCCUGAUCUAGCCAUGCCGCGUGAGUGAUGAAGGCCUUAGGGUUGUAAAGCUCUUUCAGCUGGGAAGAUAAUGACGGUACCAGCAGAAGAAGCCCCGGCUAACUCCGUG